UUUUCAAAAUAUAUUUUAUCCAUUCAACGACUCAAGAGGGAAAAUUGAUAGUACGGCAAAAAUAUUGAAAAGGAGCCCAAGCCAAGCCCACUCCAAGGAGUGGUAUUUUGGGAACCUAGGUUCUCAUUUUGGGAUUGGAUCUGAUUUGUCACUCUGUACUCGCUUCUCUCUCUCUGCGAUGAUCAAGUCAAACAACUUCAUGGAAGGAGUGUUUCACAAGAUCAGAAGGCCUAACCUAUGGGAAGUUGAAACUAUAUCAAUUGCUAUGUAGGUACCUAAGAGAAACUUGAACCCCUCGUACUUGCGGGAGCAAACUACAUGGCUAACCAUUUGAGUCACCCUUCUUGGGUACUUGUAAUGGAUGUUUAUAUUUGUCCUUUGAUAUAUACAUCCACAAUAUAUAAAAUUGCUUAGAAUAAGAUUUAGAGUCAGGGCAUAUUGGUACACAUAGAGAGGUUAGUAGUUGAGCGGUUAUGGUGGUUAUUUUGGUUAGGUAAUGUUUGUUAAAGAGUAAUAUAUCAGAGAGGAAAUUUAGGGUGAUGUGAACUGUUUUGUGAAAUUGGGAAUUCUUUAGAAUUUCCCCUUCUAUCUCUCAUUUAUUUCAUUUUUGUAUUGUCUCAGAUUGAAUUUCAAUGAAGAAGGGCUCAAUAAGAAUCCAAGGUUUUCCUAAUUUUCUAGUUCUACCACUAACAAAAUUGUUCUUGUUAGUAAGCAUUAUAGUUUUUAUAUUGGACAGCUUAAGAGAACAUCCCUCACUUUCAGUAGCUGCUGGAAUUAUCAUGUGUCUAAUCUUGUAAAAGUUCUGCCUAAUUCAAACAUCAGGAGGCUGCUGGAAUUAUCACGUGUUUAAUCUUGGUGAUUUGGUGCUCAGUUUUCUUCUAAAUAUGCUAGUAAUAAAGGGUUAAUUCUAGUUCUAUAGUCAUAUUAUGAAAAAAAUACUGAUUGUAUUUUAUUGUUUUUAAUUUAUUAAUAAAGGGUUAAUUCUAGUUCAAUACGUGUAGUUUUAGAUAUGUAAAUGGUUGUGAGAGUUUAUAUGUGUCUGUGGUUUUGCUAAAAUACUUGGUCAUGUAUAUUGUGAGUUGUUACUGUAAUUGUGUCAUAAAUCAUCAGCUUGCCAAAAUGAACUGUAUUAGUACAUUGAGCUUAUUCAUUGUUUGUUCCAACUACAAGUGGCACGUUCCCAAGUUCAUAUGUUCUUCACAGGGUCCAUUAUGGAGAAUAUAUCUCUCUAGUUAUAUAUGCAAAAACUGAAUGUUGGGUGAACAAGAACUCCCUGGUAUGGUCUUUUUUACUGAAGAAUUCUCUGUUGUGGUCUGCCAGCCAAGCUUUGAAGUUUUUCAAGGGAAGAAGUUGGUUGACUGAGAUUUGGGUGCUGGUGGGAGGGAUAGGAGGAAUUCUCUGAAAGGGUUAGUGAAUUAGCAUGGGGAGACACCAAGAUGGAACAAUCACAAACUUCUCCAGUUAUGGAACCAAGUUUGCACAAGAAGCACCAUGAUAAUAUGAUAUUGAUGUAGUAGACUUAUAUGGACAAUAAAGGAAACUAUAUUUACAAACUUUUUUUUGGUAAUAUCUA
Molecule: long non-coding RNA, 1573 nt
Organism: Cannabis sativa
Lineage: Eukaryota; Viridiplantae; Streptophyta; Magnoliopsida; Rosales; Cannabaceae
Exons: 3
Source: RefSeq, a predicted model, not a curated record